Vespa crabro (European hornet) is the source of this 10351-nucleotide long non-coding RNA. RefSeq lists it as uncharacterized. The record is from RefSeq and is a predicted model, not a curated record. The transcript has 2 exons. NCBI's taxonomy places the organism in Eukaryota, Metazoa, Arthropoda, Insecta, Hymenoptera, Vespidae.
AGAAGAAAAGGAUUGGAAUAUAUUGAUAAUGAAUUAUAUUCGUGCAUAAAUGACUGAUAUCGAGCAUAUCGAUUAAUUAAUGUUCGUAUCUACGAAAAGAAGUGUGUUCGAUUUGAGAAAAGUUGUAAUGCACGGAUACAAAAUGUCGAUUUAGAUAGUGAAAGGAAAGAGAGGGAAAAAAGUGCGCGCUACAGGGUUACCUAUGCACGUCCCACUGAGCGAAAAUUUGCAUGCGCGUUCCGGACUUAAUUAGGUUACACGCGAAACGGGUUGAAGUUCACACGCUUCAUUAGACAUUCCGAAGGGUUGCCACGUUUUGAUGUACGCCUUUACCUUUUCUGCCCUUUCUUCCUCUCUUUUCCUUCACUUUGCAUUUCGCUGCGUCCUACAUACACUCUCACGCUCCACUUUUGCCUCUCCUCUGCUUGGAUGAUCUACUCGAAGGAUAUAAUCGUUUUUUUUUUUUUUUUUUUUAAUUUAACGUUAUAUCUUUUCAUAUAUCACUUUUAUGUCGAACUUUGAUUAUUGACUUCUACAAAUAUACAUUUUACUACGUUGCUUUAUUUAUCUAUAUAAUAAUUUCAUUUUUAAAUUUCUUAAUGAUAAAGUUAUUUCGAUAUAAAAUCAACUCUUUUCAUAAGUUGUAACUCUUGAAAAAGUUCCAUUGGUAGUAUUUUAAUAACUCGAGCAGACUUCUCGUUUCGUUAACAAGUCGUAAUUAUCAACGAUUGAUCGUUUUUCUCUCUGCUCACGAUAACUUUGCUUCCUUUUUUUUUUCUUUUUCUUUUUCUUUUCUUUCUUUUCUUUUUUUUUCCCUCAAUUUUGUCGAUAAGUCGACCGUAGAAACUGUUAAUAAUGUAUUAUGCUUUUAAACCGUCGACUCUCGAACUCUUCGAUCGUCGCUGUAAAGCGAGGCAAAAGAAGAAUUCAGAUGAUGGUCGUUUUGUUCGUUUUAGAAUUUCGUUGAGUGUCGUGAUCGAAAGCUGAUAGGGAAAGAAAAAAAAGAAAGAAAAUGAGGAACGUCCAUUAAAAAGGUAAUUAGUAAGAAGGAUCUGAAAAUUCUAUGGCGUAUCGAGAAUAAAUUAAUGUAAUUAUCUCUUGAGAAUCGAUGGCACUUUGUGAAACCAAAAUGAAUGAUUAGAAUGAAUUCUCAAUCCACAAACUUUAUUUUCAUUCGAUUAAAAAAUUGAAAUUUCGAAUGAUAUUUUUCUUUCGUUUUUCACGUCAAUUUGAAAAGUUUAUAUACCUAUUUGAUAAUAAUUGUUAAAAAUAAUUUCAAGUAAACGAAUCGUCAAUGUACAGCUUAUUAACGUACCAAUUAACUCACCUUCUUCUCACUGCGUUUUUUAAACUCGUUUUCUAAACGAACACUAUUAAUCUCUGCGGGUGGUUGGCUUUAAUAUGCUAAAUACUUUGCCAGUUAACCCCUGAGAUACGCAUACAUAAACGGGACCGUGUAAACGAUGCUUCUUACGAAUAAUUAUUAUCGAUUAAUAACUUGAAAUAUUUAAAUGGCUAAAUAUCUGAACACAAUUUUUUAUUAUCACGAUCUUAGAUUCGAUUAAAUUCAUACAAAAGGGACGAGCCGUUCAUUCGGAAUAAAAUAAAAAGGUAUAACCGUUGUCAUUAUUUUGUUCUAUUGUGUUCUAUUUUUUUGAAGAUUUGACUCCGCCUUUGGCACAUUCGAAUGUCGAAUUGGAACGCUCUUCUUUCGUAGAUCAUCCGAUGGCAACGUGAUCUCGCAAGAAUUAACGAGCUCUCGUACGAAUAGAGAUGGGCGCAUUCGUAUGAACGCGUACGUGAGACAAGACAGAGUAGAGAAAAAAAGGGGCAAAAGAGAGAGAGAGAGAGAGAGAGAGAGAGAGAGAGAGAGAGAGAGAGAGAGAGAGAGAAAGAGUGAGAUAGAAAGAGUAGAAUUCGUUCGAAGGGUCUCGUCUUUCGUUCUUCUUUCGUAGAUAUAGUAUUCCGUUUAGAUUCUCAGGCACGGGCGUGAGUAAGUAUGCAAAUGAAAUAACGAGGGAGCUCAGGGACGUGGUUAAAUCGUGCUCGUGUCUUGCAAACUUGCUUUUCGACGAUUAUAAAUCAAGUCGAACAAACUAAUGCAAAGUAAUAUUGUUGGUUUGAUAUUUUAUAAUUAUCAGAUGAUGGAUUUAUUCUUAUAUAGAAUAUGUAUAUAUAUAUAUAUAUAUUUCUUUUUUCUUUCUUCUAACUUUUUCUGAAAAAAUAAUAUCUGUUAUAUAUUUUUUUCGAAAUAGAUGAGAAAUAAUCUGUAAGAAAAACAAUUGUAGGGAUCGACGAUGGGUGGAGCGUAACUUUUUGAAUGACGGCACUGGUUAGAGAGUAGAGAGGUGCCCUUGAAGGGACCCAUUACGCGUGAGCCGAACAAGAAAGGAGAAAAAACGACACAUUGUGAUGGUAUGUAUGCGUAUGGGGUCGUACCACGUACCGUGGGACUAGAACAAAGGAUCGCGAUAAAAACUGGGCAUGAAUCCAGGCCUUUGCAGUCGCCAACGAGAAGGAGAAGGAAAAGGAGGGAGAAGUGGGUCAGCGGGGGCCUUGUGCUCUUUCAAACCUGCUUCUACAGCUUCAGUCAACAACGUGCGUAUUCGCUACACGUUCGUUCAUUCGCAGCUCCGUUUAUUUUUAUCUAUCAUCAAAUGUUAAAUCUGCGAAUUAAUCGGAAGACGUCCGAGUGUUUUAUAUACUUCAAAGACAAUCAGGCGACUUUCAUUUAACAAGUGUUCUCGAAUUCGUGUUCAUCGUGAAAAUGAUAGUACACUCAGUAUUUUUUUAUUUCAAAUAUUUCUAUUAUUUGUCGACGGUUAAUGGACAAGCGAACGUUUGAAAAGGACUGCUUUGUUCCGAACAUUGUCCCAAAAUGUGGUCCAUUUCCGUCCUCGAGUUUUAAUUCUCGUCUUAAUAUAAAUAUUUUUUUUUUUGCUCUCUUGAAAAGUACAAAGCUCGGUUCGAGACAAUCGAAGAACGUAUGUUGAAUGAUAUAAAGGAAAUUUUUUUGCGCGCCUUCUGCUACUCACGAACAUGGUCCAAGGACACAAGCCAUUUCGAAAGGAAAAGCGGAGUGGUUCGUGGAGUGGCGGAUAUUUAAGAACCGGAAUUAUCCCACCCCUCCGCACUCUUCUUAUAUUUAUGCGCGUUUCGACCUAUCGGCCUUCUACCUUGCUUUCGGAGCAAGCAGUUUUUAAGCGAGCGCCGGUCGAUCCACUCCUUUUACGUGCGGGGUAUUCGAAGCUUCUUACAAAAUCGAUUUUCGCAUUUAAAGAAGACCGCGGUGUCAUCUUCAAAGUUACGAGGCUGCCUGAGGAUUUAACUGUAAAGGCAAAGGAAGAAAAUUUCGAGUUUGUUCGGCUUUCGGGACGAGUCCUGGGAUCGAGCCGAUAUGAAGGACUAUUUUAUUGGCGAGGGUGUUUUAAAGAUGGCCGUUUCUAUAGCAAUGGCCGGUGAUAUUGUGGGGAUCUGGAGCAUUGGGGCAUCGACGAACAAAACCUUCUUUUGCAUACGGUUGGCAUAGGUUUGGCAUAGGGUUGACUCAUAUGUCCAUUUAAAAUGGAGAAAACGAUGAUUACGUUAGACUCAUUGAACGAGUGGACGUAAUAUCUUCGUAAUUACGGAUUGAACAAUUCGUUCUUCGAACUUUGAUAUGGUACAAAUACAGAAACAAAGGAAGAAGAAAAGCCUAUGGCGCAAAUGGAUUUCAAGCCACAGGGUGCUUUUGAAAACGAUGAAAAAGCUUCUUCUUGCGUCGUUCUCAGCUUCCGUCGUUUUUAUCCCUUCACUUUCCAUCCAACUCCCCACCCUCCACCAUACACACCCUAUCCUCCUCCGCCCACAGAUCUUAUGCUUCUUACUUUACCGAAGAACCUGCACCCUCGCCCUAUCCAUCUUAAUAUUAUUAUUUCAUUCCGCGCGGCCGUUUUUCAGAAUCUCCUUCCUCCCUUCCACCUACAACAUUGGCCCUUUCCUCUUUCGACCUAAUCGUGCGAGCGCGAAUCUUCCUUCCCUUUUGCACUAAGAAUUAUCUUCCGUCCUUUUCUUUUCUCUCGCCGCCCACGUUCACCUCCUCGUCCUCUUCUGUCACUGGCACCCUCUACUUUCCACAGUACCAUCACUUACGGAUCAAUAGGGUAUGGAAGAUAAACGCACCUAGAUGGAGGUCGUUGGAGGGGAUGCGACCGAGCAGGGAGAAAUAAAGAGAUAAAAAAAAGUGAGAUAAAGCAAGGAGGAAACAUGAAAGAGAAAGAAAAUGUCAGAACGGUAGAUAUGUUAUAUUUUCGCGAUACGAGGUUUUUCUUUCGUAUAUUCGUUAAAUUUUCUUUUUCUUUCUUUUUUUUUUUUUUAACUCUAGUGUUAUCAUAGAGAUUUCAAUGUUAAAAUGAGGAUACGUAAAAUAUAUUUGAAGCAUAUUUUUCGUCACUAUCCAAAGUGUCUCGUGCAGAAACGAAGGGGAAGACGGAGGCACAUUCACCGUCGCUUCUUUUAUCGAAGGAUGAGAUGGAAGGCGUUCUUUCUUUCUUCCUCUUUCUCUCUUUCUCUCUCUCUCUCUCUCUCUCUCUCUUUCUUUUUCUUUCUCUCUCUUUCUCUUGGAAGGGGGAAAUCGUUAGGAAAGCGACAUGCAAAUUCGUUUGAAAGUUUCGUGCACCUUUUCCCACUUCCACUACCCUCUGGGCACGAAAAAAGCGGGACAAGGGUAGGCUGUGAGUUUUCAUAAGAGAUAGAGAAGUAGAGAGAAAAAAAAAGAAUAAAAGAAAAAAAGAAAAAAAAGAAAAAAAAAAGGAAGAAGAGAAAAUGGAAGAAGGAAGAACAAAGGUCAUCGCAAAUAUUUCCCGCUCUUAUCUACUGACCUUUUAUCUGUCCGAUAUCGUAGCACAAAACUCGAAAAUUAAAAAUUAACAAUAGGAUAGUCGAAGAAUGAUUUUACGUAGAUUUCAAGUACGGUCGCUCCUCAAUCUCUGGGGAAAUUUCGAGCUUUCUAUUCGAAUUCUCUCUUAGUCAAGAUCAAAGCAAAAAAUUUUGUCUGAACUUCUGACGUUGUUACGAUCAUGAAUAAAAUACUCGAAUGAAAUGAUUCUUUUUUUAUGUCGAAAAUGUUUUCAAAAAAUUUUUAAGCUCGUUCGAGCGUAAUUUUGCGAAAAAGUUUUUUCUUUUUUUUUUUGUUUUGUUUUGUUUUUUUUUUUUAACUCGUCGCUUCGAUAAUAAUAUCAAAAAAUAAUACGAAAUUUUAAGAUUCUCUCUCACUCGACACAGAUUCAACGAGUGUUAAAUAUUUUCAUUAUCGAACGGAAGUAUUAUUAUCGCGUUCGCGUCUUGUUCGUUAACGUUCGGAGGAAGAAUUUCAAAAAUUUAAUGCAAUAGGUUUCCCGUUCUGUAGAUAACUGAAAUUUCUAUUUUUGCUCGUAGAUAUCGUUGGAAUAUUUUCGCGAUCGUGUAAUGCUUUUAAAACGUGGAUUUGUAAAAAUCUCUUCGAAAAUGGGGUAGGCAAAGUAGAAAAGAAAUAAAAAAGGGACGUGUAGGAGAGUGAAAAAAAAUGUCGAUUCGGUUGGUUUCGAAUCACUGCAAUCGCCUCCCUUUUAGCUCUUCUUUCCUUCUUUUUUUUUUUUUAUCGUCCGCGUGCCGUCGACGUAGGGGCGAAUGGCAAUAUACGAACAGAGCGAAGCCAAGCCCGUUUAAUAUCGCAGAUCGAGGCACAAAUGAAUAUUCAUUAAACACAUUUUUCCGAUUUUAAUUACAUCCCCUAAGCGGAUCUGGCCUGGGCUUACGCAGCGUUUCCCCCACUACUUUUUCCUUCUUCCUGCGUUUUCCUCCUCUCCUCUUCGCGUAGCCCUCCUCAUCGGAAGAGAUUUCUCUUUCUACUUUCUACUUUCUCUUUCUUCGUAUCCUCGUCGUCCGCACUCUGCGUGCUCUUUAAUGAAAUCCCCGCGGACGCCAUUAUUAAUAUCACCGGUCUUAUCUUUGAACGCAAUAAAGAAUUACUUUGUUAUUAAUUCCAAUGUCCGUCUCUCCUUUUCCCUAUCAUCGAAUAAAAUUGGAAUGCCAGAGGAUCGGAUCGAAAGAUUCGUCUCGAUUCGAUGAGAUACUUCUCGGUUAAGUCUAUGGUAUCUGUCUCAAUUGAAUUUAAAGACAGCCGAGAGAACUAUUGUGGUGGAAGAGUGUCAUUUCGAUGACGGAUACAAAUUUUACAUCCACCCGUUAAUAGACUGUAAAAAACAAUUAUUUUAAUCGACAGUUAUCCUUCAUUUUAAUCUUGAUCCGUUAUAAAGUAUAAAAAAAUAAUGCGAAUCAAAUCGAUAGAUAUUUUUCCUUGAAUUUGGAUUAUUUACGAUGAACUACUUAAAAUUUUUUCUAUCUUCUCUAUAAUCUAUCUACGAACCUAUCUACCACCUCCCGCAUAUAUCCGAAUUUUUCUUUGUAUCGUGUCUGGCCUGCUUGGCCUCACCCCUGCGCACACAUAUGACGUGAUGGCGAAUGGCGAAUCGUGCACGCAUGCGCUCGAUAUGAUAUUUCCUUUCUCGCGACGUACGUCUCACCCCCUCGACACCAGCAGCCCCCACCCACCUGGUUCUGGAAGACGAUGGGUGGUUUGGCGAUGGUGGUAGAGUAGCGGGCACGGCUCGACAAAGUAAGGGUGUUGCCAAGGGCAACGCUAACGAGCUCCAUGAGCGACGUCAGACAGGGCAACACACUCCCAUAGCACUAUCGCCUCCUCCCUUCCUUCUACCGAGCGUCACGACAAACCCUCCUUCUCUCUCUCUCUCUCUCUUUCUCUCUCUCUCUCUUUCUUUCUCAUUUUUUUUCUCUUCAUUCUCCACCUCCUACAAACUUGCUUAUGUAUAAAUACAUCCCCUUACGCCGUUAGCAACCUCGAUAUGCGAUGUCGCGAUGUCGAGAAGUUCUCGGACUACCCUUACGAAGAGAGAACCUCUAGAUGUAGAAAGCUACAAAUAUAGUGCCCUUCUCCAUCUCUCCUCUUUAUCCACGUGAUUCUAUAUUCCUUCGAUUCGAACUCACCUUUCAUCUUCCUUCAUUUAUUUCCAUUUACUAUCUAAUCCAUCACGCUCACUCCAUUCAUCAUACAAUACAUAUAUAUAUAUAUAUAUAUAUAUAUAUUUAUGUAUGUAUGUAUGUAUGUAUGCAUAUUAUUUUCUCGUUUCUUUUUUUCAAAAGAAAAUUUUGUUCAUUAAUAUGUUAUAGAUUGGAUGUAGUAUUAUAAAGAGAGAUAGAUUAAUGUUAGAAAUAAAGAAGUUUCUAUUUUAUAAGACGUUUAAAAAGUUUUGUCUUUUCAGAAAGAGGUGUACGGUACGACAAGGGAUCACUCGGUGCGGAGGGUGAAUCACCGGGAGUUUAUUGGCCACGACGCUCUGUGGCGGAGGAGGAUUCGUCGGGGCGGGAAAGCAAUUACGUAAUCAAAUGACAUCACCAGGAUUUUAUUUUUUGCCCUCGGAAAGCCAGGAGCACGCGGGUACGAGGGUGGAAUUACGAUUGGGGUUUGGAGCAUAGAGCAAGGUAGAAAAAGGAGGUGAAGGGUAGGUAUUGCGAAGGGUAGAUAUGGGUGAACCUUACUUAUUGUCAUAUUUUAAUAUAACGACGGUGUAACAACGCUUCCACGGUUCGUAACGUUUAUUUCAAUGCUAGACGCUUCUUCAUUUUCUCUCUCUCUCUCUCUCUCUCUCUCUCUCUCUCUCUCUUUCUUUCUCUAUCUACCUAUCUAUAUCCAUCUACCUAUCUCUUUUUUUUCAUCUUUUCAUCUCUAUAAAAUCAAGGUAGAUGUAAUGUAAUCUACGUUAGACAUUGUUAAAGUUGUGAUAUUUUCUAGAUUGAUAUAGCGCAUUAAAAAGAAACAGUGAAAAAUAUUUCUUCAUAAGAAAGUGUGUUUACUUUUUCAGUUGAGUUCAAUCUUUGAAAUUUUCAUAUUUUACCAUGCGAACAAAACGAAUUUUAAACUUCAAUAAGUAUAUAAAUAUGUACGUAUAAUAUAUACGCGUAUGUAUAAGCGUUUAUAAUUAGUUUUUUUUUUCUGUAUUUCUAAUCAUUGUAAAUAUAAUUACAUUGUAAAUAUAAUUUUGGCUACGACUUAAAUAAGAAGAAAAAUUAUUGGAUAUUAGAAGAAAAUGAGGUACGGUUUCUGUUUCUGAUAGUUAUUGUUGGGAAUAAAUUAUCCGCCGGCUUUUCGAUGCUUUUUGAAGAACGUGCAGCACCCACCGACGACUUGCACCUGGAAGAAAUGAAGAGGAUUGAAAGAACGGAGAUACCCUCGCAGUCAAGGAGGAAUGAUCAACGAGGAGGACGAAUCACUAGGCGGUGGAGUAUUCUUUCUCGAUCAUUGUAGAUGGCACAAAGCAUCGUCCUCUUUUUCUUUCUUUUUACUCUCGUUCUCUCUCUCUCUCUCUCUCUCUAUCUCUCUUUCUUUCUUUCUUACUCUUUCUUACUCUUCCAUUCUCUGUUUCAUUCUCUUCUGUAUCAGUUUUCCCUCUCGCCAUCUCCACCCUGCUGGAUAAUGCCGGCCUGAAAAUAAUAAUGCCUCCGCGCAAAGCACAAUGCGACAUUUUCUCUUGUUAAAUUAUCUCUGUGUCGCACUUUUUUGAGUCCCUUUUUCGUUCCAGCCGAUUCAUCAUUCUCGUCUUAUCCAGUCUUCAUCUUCUCCCCGUCUUUUCUUUAUCAUUUUUCUUCAUCGUUAUUCGAAGCGGCUCAUAUUUCAUAUGUAGAUCAUAAUUGUUUUUAAUUUUGCUAAAUCCUCAUAUGUAUAUAUAUGCAUAUAUAUAUAUAUAUGUGUGUGUGUGUAUAAAAUGUAUAUGUAUAGUUAUAUAUGUAUUGAAAGAAAAAAAAAAAAAAUAAAAAAUAAUGAAUUCGUAUUACGAAAUUUAUGGUAAAUAAAAAUAACAGUAGGUAUAAUGCGUUCGAAAUGUUAUUGUUCGACGAAGUAAGCGUAGUGCUUUUAAAAUUCAAUUCCUAUAAUGCGGAAGGAAUACCUAUCUACCAUUGAUGGUACUCAUAGCAGCGGUAACAGUAACACCCACAAGUCCAAACUCAAAGUUCCUUCUGUUUAACCGAUGGGUAGGGUGACUGAUACAGUCUAUACCGCAAACGCGUCCAAACAAACUCAGACUGAGAGAUUUAAGGAGCCUCACGUUUUGAGGGAUUUGAAAAACAGCUUCCAUCCCUCGUUAAGUCCAAUCGAAAUCCUUUGAAAAAAUUUCGGCUAGAAUGAAAAUAUAUCGUCGAAUUCGAAGGGAUCGAAAGACUCUAAUGUUUACAAUUUCUUUUGGCUCUGUAAAUUUAAAAUAUUAAAUUUUUUCUAUAUAUCUUCUCAAUUAUUUUUUUAUGAUAUAUUAUAUUUAAUUCAAGAAAAAUCAAUAUCUAUAAUUAAAAUAUUAUGUGAUAGGCGACGCCAAUGCCCCAAGGGGAAACUAUUAUCUCUACAGCAAGCAUGAUAUCACGGGAACGAAUAUGUAAAAAAUAAAAUGGAACAGAAACGCAUGGAAUUCAAAAAGAAAGGAAUAUUUGAACGAAUUCGUGAUCGUUAUCGAGUUUUCGAUAUUUUUACAAAGAGAGGUUUAAACUCGUGUGAGGAAACACGUACUACGGCUUGUCGUAAAAUAAUCCCCUAUACCGGCUUAUUGAUCAGAUCACAAGUCGUUGGAGCACACCAACCCUCCCCUUUAGUCCACCCCUCUCUUCCGCCGUUGCCGCCGCCUCCUUGCCACAGGGAACAGGGCAUUUUUAUUCGUGCAGUUUCACCCCCGUCGUUCCUUCCACUUCGGCUUUUCCUACCCCUCCUGUCUCUCGCUUGGCGACACGGGGGUGGUAAAGUCGUGGGAGCGCCAUUUUUUAUUUUACCUACGUCGAGCUACAGUCGCAUGGAGAUUCAUUAAUAACAAGCUGCCGCGGUUCCUACGAGGAUUAGAGACAGACUGGAGAAUGAGGAGUGACGGAGUGAUAGAAAGAGAGAAAUGUCUGUUCAAAUCAAUUUUCCGACGAAUAUCGGAGGAAAAAGAGAAGUAAUUCGCACGGUACACCGGAGUCGACUUUGUGAAAUAUCAAAACGUUCUUCCAUGCCUGUGUAAAUAACGAUAGGAAUGCAAAAGUGAUAUGAGAAAUUCUUAUUCCUCUAUAAGAGAAAGAAUGCGAAAUAGAUAUAUAACAACGUGCGACUAACAUAAAUAAAUUAUUGUCAAAAUUUAUAUCCCGAUGUUAUUAUUUCUAAUAUCAAAAUGGCGAUUAGGAAGAGCAAGUGCGAAUCGUCGAAUAUGAUUUAAAGAAAUUCAGUAGUAGGAGUUUUUAUUAUGCGCCAACAUAUAUUACUCUCUCUCUCUCUCUCUCUCUCUCUCUCUCUCUCUCU